GGGGCCGUAGCCUAGCCAGGUGAGGGAUUAGCACGAAACUAGGCCCCCUUAGGGGCGACGGGCUCCAGACCCGUUGGUCGAGGGUUCAAAUCCCUCCGGCCCCACCA
This 107-nucleotide transfer RNA is filed under the name Candidatus Odinarchaeota archaeon. RNAcentral's name for it is "tRNA-Trp". It matches the Rfam family "tRNA". From Rfam's summary of the family: Transfer RNA (tRNA) molecules are approximately 80 nucleotides in length. Lineage: Archaea; Promethearchaeati; Candidatus Odinarchaeota. The record is from RNAcentral. RNAcentral also lists the same sequence under 1 other name.